RNAcentral lists this ribosomal RNA (117 nucleotides) under Danio rerio (zebrafish). Lineage: Eukaryota; Metazoa; Chordata; Actinopteri; Cypriniformes; Danionidae. The record is from RNAcentral.
UGCCAGAGCCAUAUCAACCUGCACCCCAAGACCACUUACUUACUGAAGCUAAGCAGGGCUGAAGCUGGUCAGUACCUGGAUGGGAGACCACACAAGCAAACUAGGUAGCUGUUGGAA